UGGGGAAUAUUAGGCAAUGGGCGAAAGCCUGACCUAGCAACGCCGCGUGAGGGAAGAAGGUCUUCGGAUUGUAAACCUCUGUCCUUGGUGAAGAACACAAUGACAUUAGCCAAGGGAGAAAGCUCCGGCUAACUACGUGCCAACAGCCGCGGUAAUACGUAGGUGGCGAGCGUUAUCCGGAUUUACUGGGUGUAAAGGGCGUGUAGCCGGGUCGGUAAGUCAGAUGUGAAAUCUACGGGCUCAACUCGUAAACUGCAUUUGAAACUGCUGAUCUUGAGUAUCGGAGAGGCAAUCGGAAUUCCUAGUGUAGCGGUGAAAUGCGUAGAUAUUAGGAGGAACACCAGUGGCGAAGGCGGAUUGCUGGACGACAACUGACGGUGAGGCGCGAAAGCGUGGGGAGCAAACAGGAUUAGAUACCCUGGUAGU
RNAcentral lists this ribosomal RNA (426 nucleotides) under uncultured Clostridium sp. RNAcentral's name for it is "bacterial SSU rRNA". It matches the Rfam family "Bacterial small subunit ribosomal RNA", at positions 355 to 794 of the family's 1533-position model. Lineage: Bacteria; Bacillati; Bacillota; Clostridia; Eubacteriales; Clostridiaceae. The record is from RNAcentral.